This 717-nucleotide long non-coding RNA is filed under the name Homo sapiens (human). Its description in RNAcentral is "SRI antisense RNA 1". The record is from RNAcentral. Lineage: Eukaryota; Metazoa; Chordata; Mammalia; Primates; Hominidae.
AGUGCUCCUGACUGGAGAGCCCAGGCUGAGAUGGUGUUAAAUGCUUUUACCACGUGGGCUCCUGGCACCAAAUGAGCAAGCAAUGUCACCUUGAGAAAGUUACUCAAACUCUGUGUCUCAGUUUCAUCAUCUGUAAAAUGAGGGAUUGCUAGUACCUACUUGAAAGAUACUGCGAGUGAGGACAGCAAAAAUCAGCUAAUGACCAUGAACAGAUCUCACCCCACAGGCCUUGGAAACCUGAGGCAGUAUUCUUCUGGGAUGUUUCCAACUAGGCUUCCCAUGAGGAUGUUAGAGCCAGCCUGGCUGGUGAAUUUUACUUCUCUCACCUCUCAGAGGUAAGAGGUCUGAGAGGCUCAGGCCCUUCCAGCUUUUGAGGAUUCCAGCAUAGUAGAAACAUAAAAAGGUCCAAAGGGAAUUACAAAAAUAAUCUAUUUUCAGUUCUUAUACUUAACAAGUCAAUUCUUAUUAAAAAAAUAAAUCAAUCAAACUUUUGUUUGAUAUAAUUAUAGAUUCCAAGGAAGUUGUAAAGAUAGUACAGGAGGUCCCUGUGCAUCUUUCACCCAGUUUCCUCCAGUUUUAUGCCACUAGAGUACAAUAUCCAAACCAGGACAUUGACAUUGGAGCCAUAUGCAUGUAUAUUUCCAUGUCAUUUUAUCUCAUGUGUAUGCUCAUGUACCCAUCACUUCAAUCAGGUUAGAGACUAGACCAUCCCUCAUG